RNAcentral lists this ribosomal RNA (300 nucleotides) under uncultured bacterium. RNAcentral describes it as "bacterial SSU rRNA". It matches the Rfam family "Bacterial small subunit ribosomal RNA", at positions 1082 to 1381 of the family's 1533-position model. The record is from RNAcentral.
AAGUCCCGCAACGAGCGCAACCCCUACUUUUAGUUGCCACCAUUUAGUUGGGCACUUUAAAAGAACUGCCAGUGAUAAGCUGGAGGAAGGUGGGGAUGACGUCAAGUCCUCAUGGCCCUUACGUGUUGGGCUACACACGUGCUACAAUGGCACUUACAAUGGGAAGCAAAGAGGCGACUCCUAGCUAAUACCCAAAAAUGUGUCUCAGUUCGGAUUGCACUCUGCAACUCGAGUGCAUGAAGCUGGAAUUGCUAGUAAUCGCGAAUCAGCGCGUCGCGGUGAAUACCGGUUCCCGGUCUU